UACGGGGGGGGCAAGCGUUGUUCGGAAUUACUGGGCGUAAAGGGUGCGUAGGCGGCUUUCUAAGUUGGAUGUGGAAACUAUGGGCUCAACCCAUAGCCUGCAUCCAAAACUGGAGAGCUUGGGUUCUGGAGGGGAAAGCGGAAUUCCUGGUGUAGCGGUGAAAUGCGUAGAUAUCAGGAGGAACACCGGUGGCGAAGGCGGCUUUCUGGACAGAUACCGACGCUGAGGCACGAAAGCUAGGGGAGCAAACAGG
Molecule: ribosomal RNA, 253 nt
Filed under: uncultured bacterium
Lineage: Bacteria
Description: partial 16S ribosomal RNA
Rfam family: Bacterial small subunit ribosomal RNA
Source: RNAcentral